GAUGAACGCUGGCGGCGUGCCUAAUACAUGCAAGUCGAGCGAACGGACGAGAAGCUUGCUUCUCUGAUGUUAGCGGCGGACGGGUGAGUAACACGUGGAUAACCUACCUAUAAGACUGGGAUAACUUCGGGAAACCGGAGCUAAUACCGGAUAAUAUUUUGAACCGCAUGGUUCAAAAGUAAAAGACGGUCUUGCUGUCACUUAUAGAUGGAUCCGCGCUGCAUUAGCUAGUUGGUAAGGUAACGGCUUACCAAGGCAACGAUGCAUAGCCGACCUGAGAGGGUGAUCGGCCACACUGGAACUGAGACACGGUCCAGACUACUACGGGAGGCAGCAGUAGGGAAUCUUCCGCAAUGGGCGAAAGCCUGACGGAGCAACGCCGCGUGAGUGAUGAAGGUCUUCGGAUCGUAAAACUCUGUUAUUAGGGAAGAACAUAUGUGUAAGUAACUGUGCACAUCUUGGCGGUACCUAAUCAGAAAGCCACGGCUAACUACGUG
This 497-nucleotide ribosomal RNA is filed under the name uncultured bacterium. RNAcentral describes it as "partial 16S ribosomal RNA". It matches the Rfam family "Bacterial small subunit ribosomal RNA", at positions 28 to 507 of the family's 1533-position model. The record is from RNAcentral.